Molecule: unclassified non-coding RNA, 200 nt
Filed under: soil metagenome
Description: partial contains internal transcribed spacer 2 and large subunit ribosomal RNA
Source: RNAcentral
CCGUGUAACAAACGGCUCGUCUGAAAUUCCUGAGUGUACCCUGCUUUGCGGCGUAUUCGGUAUGAUACAUCUUCACCGGAGUUUCGACCUUUUGGGUUGGCGCUGAUAUCGUAUGGCUCUAUGCUUCGAACCGUCCCUGAAAAGGACAAUACUCUUGACAAUUUGACCUCAAAUCGGGUGGGACUACCCGCUGAACUUAA